Molecule: ribosomal RNA, 253 nt
Filed under: uncultured bacterium
Lineage: Bacteria
Description: partial 16S ribosomal RNA
Rfam family: Bacterial small subunit ribosomal RNA
Source: RNAcentral
UACAGAGGUCCCAAGCGUUGUUCGGAUUUACUGGGCGUAAAGGGUGCGUAGGUGGUUGGGUAAGUCUGAUGUGAAAUCUCCGGGCUCAACCCGGAAAUGGCAUUGGACACUAUUUGACUAGAGGGUUGGAGGGGGGACUGGAAUACUUGGUGUAGCAGUGAAAUGCGUAGAGAUCGUAAGGAAGACCAGUGGCGAAGGCGGGUCUCUGGACAGUUCCUGACACUGAGGCACGAAGGCCAGGGGAGCAAACGGG